GGGUGGGGGGUGCUUGCCAUGCUCUCAAGGGAGCUAAUCAGGCAGCAGGCUGGGACAGCUUCCAGGGGGUGUUGUAUUUAACGUGCUAAUUCACUAUUCUAAUUGAAUAUGCUAAUGUCACCUGCCAGUCUGCCCUCUGCCCCUCUGUGAGCAUUUCGCAAGCUCUUCGACCAAGGGAUACAGGUGCCCAGGGAUGCAACCGCACAGUUUACAGAACACGUUUUCCCUGCGCUGUCUCCUCUGCUUGUUUAAACCCUUCCAGCCCGUGCACCCGCAGCACUGGCCUCCCCUGGAAGCCGAUUAGAAAUGCAGCGUCUCAGGCCCCUGCCCAGACCGACUCCAUCGGAAUCUGCAUUUCAUUGAGAUCCUGAGUGACUCAUCCUGCGAGUGAGAGUUCAGAAGUGCUGCUGCACUGAGAGUCCAUGAAGCGAGUUCCGUUGCACCCACUUUACAGUGAGAAGAUGGAGGCCCCAAAAGAGAGCCUCACAGUUCAUAAAUAGCUAGUGACCCCAGAUUGUUCCUGCCUCUCCUUUCCAACCUGGACCUGCUGGUCCUUCAGUGAGAACAUAGGGGCCCAGAGAGGGAACGUGCCUUGCCCAAGGCCACACAGCAAGACUAGAAUCCCAGGUCUUCAGACUCCCCAGGCAUCCAUGUGCUUUCCCCGACCCAAGCCGCCAGGGAGCCGUAGUUCUCAAAGUGUGGUCCAUGGACCGGUAGCAUCAGUGUCAGUUAGAAUGGAUAUUUCCAGGCCCUUUCCAGAGCUGCUGAAUCCAAAGCCCUGAGGGUAAGGCCCUGGAAUCUGCAUCUUAGCAAGCCCUUUGGUGUUUCUUGGGCUCACUGCAGGAAUAGCCCGAGACCUUGAAGGAACAUCAUGCAAUUCUCAGAUUUUCCACUAGAGGGAGUGCGCGCCCCAAGGACGCAGCCUUGCAGCAGCGCUAAACCCCCACACAGCAGGUGCCGGUGGUUUUCUGCUGGUGGGUCCGGUGCGGUUGCUGUUCGGGGAAGAUCCUCAGGUCACACCAGUCAAAGGUGUUUGGGAAAGGAAGCACUUCUGUUAACUCAGGAGGCAGGAAGCCUGCGUUCUGAUCCCGUACCGUCCACCUGGACCCAAACACCCAGGCCUGCCACGGGCAGAUUCACUGUGCAACCUCAGCAGCGCCCUUGACCUCUGAGCUUCAUCUUCCUCCUCUGCAAGGCCCUGCGGUCCCCCCAAAGAGGCUCAGUCCCCAGCCCCAGCCUCGAUCUUUUACAAGGCAUCCGUUAAUGUCUGCACACCGUUAGGAAGCAGAAGGCGUGUUGUCACACAGAGGUUCGUAGGUGCCUUGGGGUGGUUCUGCUGUGAUGCUGUGUUCUCUCUGGUGUGUCUCCAUGACUCACAUGCUCUCUGUGCCUGGAGGUCGUUGUGCCUGCGUGUGAGGUCUGGGACUGUGGCAGCCGUCUUGGGCCCAUGAGGGGUGCUGACCACGGGAGACGUGCUGAGUGAGGAUGGCAGCCCUGAAAGUAGAAAGACCCUGAGUCCUGCAUGAUGUCAGGCCCUGCAGAAUUAGUCUGCUCGGGAGCUUGCCUCCUUCUUGUGAUGUGAGUUGAUAAAUGCCCUGGCAGCUUCCUCCCGCCGGGAAGGGGUCUUCCGUUGCCUGCAGCGAAAAGCUUCCAUCCAGCUGGCUUGUCUUGCCAUUUGCCCAGCUGUCUGCCUGGGGACGAAGCAGAGGGACUUUCGUGUGCCACCAGCUCCUGCGAGUGUAGCAGCUGAUGGACUUAGGGAGUCCUGGGAGGACAAAACCCUGCCACGGGAAGUGACAUUGGAGAGCUACAGCAGAGGGCUGUGGGAAGUUGACAGCCAGCCACACGGUCACAAGGAAGGGACUGAUGGGGGUGGGGUCAAGACCUCGCAGUGGGUCCAAGUGCCGUGGGGAGCGUGUCUUGGAGGCGGAUUUCCAAAGAGGCACAGAGGGAACUCUUGUGCGUUCUCUUGCCACCCUCACCGCUUCUUCUGUAAACAAAGCCAUUUCCUUAUUCCUCACAAGCCAGUUUGCCUGCCUCUCCUUCUGAGAAUUACACCCAACAUUUAUAUAUAUUUGGAUAUGCAUAUAUUAAUAUGUAUGUAUACACUUAAUGGUGAUAAUUAAUUUGCACUGGAGCUUUCGGUGCAGAAGUUUUUACCCCUGUUUGUUCUCACAAGAACCCUGUCAAAUUUGGAUCAACAUCUUAUUCGUCUCCUUUUUAACAAGGACGUGGGGGCUCAAAGAGAGCCUGGCCCAAGAACGCACAGUCAGAUGCACCAAAGCCAGGGCUCGAACCCUGAUUUUCUGGCUUUUCACUUUUCGCCCAUUCGCAGCCGCUCCUCCAGGUCGAGCCCCUGACCGUGAGUUUCUUCAUCCGUCCAUGAGGCAUCUUUUCAAACCCGUACUCCUCCUCGGGAGACUCAGAGUUUUGCAGCUGCUACCCCCUCCCGCGGGUGAAGUCACAGGCGUGUUAGAAUUAGGGGACAACUCUGCUUGUUUCAGAAAACACCGCCCGAUGAUUCCAUGGGUCCAGAGCUAUUUCUGAAGAUGCCAGGACCAAGGCGCUCUCAAAAGAGCCAUUAUCUUAUUGCAAAACUAUAAUCAGAUUCCCCCUGAAAUAACGGCUUUGCUCGCCCUGAGCCGACAUGAAGGGCCAUUAGAAAUACGCUCAGAGGCUCUGUAUUGCUACCUACCCAUCUAAUUAUAAUCAGGAGUGGGGGGCGGAAUCCAAAGAUGACCUCAGCCACCGCCCCCUCUAAACACCAUCACCGCUAAGAGCUUCUUCACUCUUCUUGCUGCAUCAGCCCGGCCCCUCUGGUCCCGUCAGGUCUUCGUUUGAGACUGUACACAGCCGAUUUGGAAAAGCAGGAAGCAGGUGCCUCUGACCAAGGCUCUGUGGUGCUGAUUACGAUAGUGAUGGGGCGAGGAUGGUGGUGACGGUGACAUUAGGUGACAUUAGGUGAAUGAUACAAUCACAACCGUGCCCUGCCCGGUACCCAGGGCACAUCAGCCCCUCAGCCGUGGACCUCAGCCGUCUUGUGCCCUUACUGUUCUCACCCUCCCUGAGGCCUUCACCCCCAGGCUCUGAGGAUCAGACUCCUAAACUCCGGGGGCUUCCAUGCGCUGGGACCCCCAGUAUUCUCCAUGGGGGGUGUGCCAUGAAGGAAGCACGGGCUCGCAUCUUCGUCUGGCUGCUUCCUGGUCCUGUGACCCUGGGAAGUGACGGUCUCUGUUUCCUCAUCCAUGCAAGGGGGGUACCAUCGUCCCUCUCUUGGGGUAACUGUAACCAUAGCACCAGGUGAUGGACACAGGCAGCCGAGCCAGGUGCAUGAACGGGUCUCUCCCUGGCCCCGCCGUGCAGGGUCUUGGGCAGCCAUCCUGGUUGGAGGUGCCAGCCAGAGACACUUGCACAUCUUCCUACAGCAGCGGUUCCCCAGCUGCUGGUGUACACGUCACCUGGGGCGCCCCACAACCAUGAACACCUGUCCACGCCCCAGGAGCAUUCGGCAGACCCUCUCGGGUUGGGUCCGAGGUUUAUAAAGCUUCCAGUGUGCAGCCCGUGGCCUGGACCAGGCUGCCCCCUGGAACUGUAAUCUGAGCGGAGGUCAUUGAUGCUUCCUUGGCCAUAUUAACAGGAGUCAAAAGAGAACAAGAGAGAUGAAUUUUCAUAAUAGACUUUUUUUAACCCAACUGUUAUCACUUUUCCCAUGUAAAUCCCAUACUGAGAAAUUCCCAGUGAGCUAUUUUCACUUGCUUCCUGUCCCAAGUCUUUGAGGUCUGCGGAGUAUUUCCCAUGUGGGGCAUGUCUGCUGCACGUUUCAAGUGGCUCAUGGCUUCCAUUUUGCGCACCCACCUGGCAAGACGGGCACCCCCCCCCCCCCACUUUACAGAUGAAGAAACUGAGACUCAGAGAGGUGAAGGGACCAGCCCAGGCCCCCCAGCUGUUUAGUGGCAAAGGCGACUCAAACCCAGGUGUCCUGGCCACAGCCAGGCGCCCCUCCUGUCCCCCACCCAGGUCCAGGCGGCUCCCGGCCCCAUGUCCGGUCCAGAUACUGCCCCGCAUCAAGGGAGGGGAGUGGCAGGGGGCAGGGCCUGGGUCCAGCGCCCCCGAGGCUGGACCUCUGAGGUCCACACCCCGGUUGGACCCGAUCCCUUUGGGGCCAUGAUUUCUCUGUUGUCUACUCUUGUCCCCCAGCUGCACUCCCGGGGUGGAGGCUGGGGUUUGGGGCUCUUUGCACCUUGCCCAGCACAGCGCCCCAGCCCGGCAGGGGCACAAGCGAGACCACAGAACCAGGAGCCUCUGAAGGUAGCUGAGCCACAGGAGCCUCCCUGGGGGUCCCGGCAUGGUUGCCCCUGGGCAGCGGCCAUCGAACCCCAGGACGGCCCCUCCGGACAGCCUUCCUCACCAGAACCCCGUUCAGGUUCUUAGAGACCCUCCGAGGCGCACCCAGCACCUGCUGACCGCUUUGCUCCUGCUCCCAGCAGGGGUGAGGCUUGCAUGGUUUCUAGAAUCUGUCUCCCCUGCUGGAACAGAGUCCCGAGAGGGAGGGGGUGUCCAUGUAACCUCAUGCCGCGUCCACCAGGGAGCCUGGCACCCCACGGCUCUGCAGACACUUCAACGAACCCGGCCAUCCGCUCCCAGUUUCAGGGAACCUGACGAAGCUCGAACAGCUUCUGCAGACCCCACACUUAGCCCGGAACAGCUCGAGCCCAGGAGGAGUCUGAUGCCACAGUGCCGAGGGGCUUUUCCGCCAUCGGGUGAUCAGUUUUGUCCACAUUGUCCCAGUAGAGUGAUGGGCCACCUGCACCAGCUCAGAACACUGGGGGCACCAGUGGCCACGAUGGCACUCACCCAGAGACAAGGGACCUAGUUUCUCACCAGGGCAGACCCCGGGUGGAGGGCAGCGAGGUCCCGCCAUCAGUACAGCAACCAGCGCCUCGGCGUGUGAGGGAAGCCGGGCCCCCUAAGUCUCUUGCCGGAAACUUCGUCCCGUCCUAGGUUUGCCUCUCAGUGGACCUGCUCACAGGCCAUACAGCUGGCUGGCCGGAUGGUGCCCCGCAGGUGGAAAGUGGGUUCCCUUCCCAUCACCUCUGCAGUGCCCCCCCCACACCCAUGGCGCUGGGGGCCAGGGUACCAGGGCACUUUCUCAAGGAAGCCCUCUGAAGUCCUGACACCCCGUUUAAAAUUUCGGAAGUGUCUUCCCAAGUAGAUGCUGGAGGGUGUUCGCAUCAGGCGGGCCCUCCCCCUCCCCCUCCCCCUCCCCCACCGCCACCCCCUGGGACCCUGAGCUCCAGGGGCCCCGCCCAGGUGCUCGCCUCCGGGAGAAGGAUGUUUCGCAACAUCGCGCCCCAUCCAGCCCACACCCCAAACCAGAGCACAUGUAAACCACCUUCUUAGAUAACUCCGUGCGUUCUUCCUCAUGCUUGUGGUUGGCGUUUUCUAGAACCCACCAGCACCUUUUGGUUCAUCUGCUGGUUUUGAUGUGCCCUUCUCCACCUUCGAAGGGGGGAAAUGGUCAGGAGACCUCAGGUUUUGUUCUGUUUUGUUUUGUUUUUUUUUAAGCUUCAGGGAUGGCAGUGGUGGCCCCGCUCCAUCAAAAUGCUCCCUGCCGAGAGAGCCGCCCAUUCCUUCGACGGAGGGAGGCCAGGCCUUGAGAGAAGGGAAUUAAGAACAGCAGCCCGAGGGUGCGAACCUGGACGUCCGCGGAGGUCAGGGACCCCCGAAGGACGCCGCGGGACUGGUUACCGCGCCGGUGCCGCACCGUUGCUGUGGCUGCUCGUUGGGUUCGAUGCGGCCCAUAGCUCUGAGCUCCACGCCUUUGUGAACGUCUGCAAAGCCGUUCUGAAGGCUGCCUGCCAGAUGAUCCCAACUGGGUGACUUUCUGGAAAAGGCAAAACGAGGAAGACAGUCGAAAAUCAGUGGUUGCCGGGGGUCGGGCUCACCCAGAGACCCCAGCAUCAUCUCACCUGCGUGAAGUCCGUAACCCGAAUCGCAUCUGCAGAAAUCCCCUUUGCUGUGUAAUGCAGCGUAUCUACAGAUUCUCGGGGAGCUUAUAUGAACAGGUCCGGGAGGGGUUCGUUCUGUCUCCUACCGCGUGUGGGCGUGAAAACUGGUACACGCGUGUGCCUAGCAGCUUUAUUUGUCAUCACCGAAGGCUGGAACCCCAGGGGAGGGGGUAAGCAGCAGUGAUCCAUCUCUAUGACUUCGUCCUACUCAGCAAGCCAUAGAGCGGCUUACUGAUAUCCGCUACAACCCAGAGGAACCUUAAAAUAAUUAUGCUCUAUGAAGCCAGCUGCCCCCUCAAAAGCCACACAAAACGCCCUCGUUCCAUUGUAUAAAAUUCUAGAAAAUGCAAACUCGACUCUCGUAACAGGAAGCAGGUCCAUAGCAUCUAGAAAGAACAGGUGGGAGGAAAUUCAAAAGGAGCCAGGAAACCUUGGGAGCCAUCGGCUGGUUCAUUACCUUGAGGGCAGCGGUGGUUUUAGGAGCAUAU
RNAcentral lists this long non-coding RNA (6496 nucleotides) under Sus scrofa (pig). RNAcentral describes it as "lncRNA (ENSSSCG00000059035.1)". The record is from RNAcentral. Lineage: Eukaryota; Metazoa; Chordata; Mammalia; Artiodactyla; Suidae.